CCUGAGGAGUGAUACUGAGGAGGGUGCCACCUGUGGAGCAUAAACGGGCCGGCCAGCCGGAGACGGUCGCUGCGUUGUGUUUUACUGUGAACGUGCGGAUGGGCUCGACUGGCUACUAACUCCGGUUUAGUGAUUUAUACCUAACUAGUGAGGUGGACACCAAACACCGACCGACAGUCGUCCACCGGUGCGUGUACGAAAAGGGAAGGUGUCUUGGUUGAGUCUGAGCGGUGUGUCUUUAUCCUAGCUGGCUAGUUCAGGUAGAGUGGUAGGGCCGCACUGUGGACACAAGAAAGGGUAAACAGAUACAUUUAGUUUCCGCGCCGUGUACUAGGAGGGGGCAGUACGGGCACUAGGGCAGGCGGCGUCGUGCGUUGGGUAGCGGCGCGCGCCGCGGUGGUAAUAAAAAUAGGAGGAGAAGAUAUUCGUAGGUGAGGAGGAUGACCGGGCCUCUCUUUGUUUAGGGUCUCUAAUCUAAUCGCUUGAGCCUCGUGAGGGCGAGGGCGUGAAGAGAGACACGGGCGCUGACCCGGGGGUAGCUGAGAAGGGCGAGCCGUUUGGCGGGCGCGCGCUAGGCUCUUGCCGCCCGCGGUACCGCCUGUUGUCCAGCCGCCGUCGCCGCCGCCACCCCGGCGACGACGACGGCGCCUUCUUCAGCAGCAGCCCCCGCCGCGUCAUGUGGGCCUCGCGCAGCGUGCGCCCCCUGCUCGACGCGUCGAAGGCCCGGACGGAGGCGACCUACACGUAGCUGGUGUGGCUGCCCGGCGCGAGGCGCCCGAGGACCCGCCAGAAGAAGGAGGAGCGGCAGCGGCGCGGCCGGCGCCAGUGGGACCGGGAGGGCCGGAGCCGGGGCGGCGCCGGCGACCUGCCCGUCCACGUCCAGAGCGAGUGGGACCGGCGGUGCGAGCGGAAGGAGAGGGAGACGAGCGACGAGGCCCAGCCGGAGGCGGCGGACGAGACGUAGCUGGCGGAGGCCGUGCUGAGCCUGCUCCACGCGCGGCCCAUGUGGCGCGUCGAGUUGGCGAGGAAGGCGCAGGAGCGGACGAAGGAGCGCGGUACGAGGGAGCGGCUGCGGCGGAUGUUCCAGAUGACCAUGACCCGGCGGCGCGGGAAGGCGAGCGGGACCACCUUGCGGCGGCGUACGCGCGAGCUCCGGCGGAGUACCCAGAUGGCGUGGCGGCAGAAGAAGUACUAGACGCACGAGAAGGCCCAGUAGACGAUGGACGUCCACGAGGCGUACCAGCCGAAGCGCGCGCUCAAGCCGUCCAAGCGGCUGCAGCGGCAGCACGACCUCGUGGUGGCUGCCUAGUCCCUGGUCGAGGCGGCCUAGUCGGUGGCCAUGGCGGCCAAGUAGUAGAAGACGGAGCACGAGCAGUGGCGGUCGGUCAAGAGGCGGGACGAGCGGUGGUGGUCCGGUGUACGCGCCUAGUUAUAGCGGUGGCGGCCGCUCGAGCGCGAGACGAGUCACUCGGAGCACCGCCCCGACGACCAGACGGAGGUGUCGCGCCGGUUCUAGUGCGUGUUCUGUGUCCGGUAGUGCUCGCACCGCCGCCGCACCGUGCGCCUGCGGUGGUAGGUGCGGAAGCUGUUGCUGGACCUCCUGGGGCUGGGGCGGGACGGGCGGCGGUGGCCGAUGGACCGCGGCCGGUUGCGGAUGGCCCACCGGGGGCCGCUCCUCAGGCUGCCGAUGCCCCUGCUGCUGCUACUGCUGCUGUUGUACUCGCUCCCGAGGUAGCUGCUGAGGUUCGAGCACGGGAAGGUCCAGUUGUUGUACACGAAGGUCUUCUCCGUCCGUGACCACUUGAUGGACCUCUUGUUGGCCCGCCCGUAGUGCCACAUGCCGAAGCACCAGCUGGCCUGUACCGACGUGCGCGAGAAGUACUAGCUCAAGAGCGAGCAGUACACCGACGACCCCUUCUGCCAGCCAUAUAGAACUUCCGGGAAACUACGACAGCGGCUAAGAGGGCUGCAAACUACGUCCCCGAGUGGAGCCUACAUGUUUAACUCGCGUGUAUCAAGUGAUGAAGUCAUAAAGCGGUGCGUAUUUUGUGUGUGUAGCAAGAAAAAACGGGAGGAUUCAUAAUCAACACGUCAAAAAAAAAACGCUUUUAAUCAACACGUCACAAAUUUUUUUCAUAAUCGGCACGUGAACUAAACUACUUUUCUUAUGUAUACACCGUUAUAAUCUACGUUUCCCAAACUAACCUACUUUACUACAGCUCAUUAUAAUCAGGAGUUGAAGGCGUCCAGCUAGAUACUUUUCAUAAAAAACUUCCCUUUGUAAGAACCGGUCCCGCGGCCGGCUUGGUAACGCGGCCAGUGCGCGCCAAGCAAGCUAACGUCGUCUAGUAGACCGGACACACGCCGGAAUAGACGACUGGGGUGGCGAAAAAUUAGAUGACUUGGGUUGACCAGGAGAAGGAAUAGGAAAGAAAGAAUAGGAGAACGCAAGGGUCGGUGUGUCGGUAAGAAAGGGGUGCAGGAGAGGGAGGGCACCAGAUGGAGGUUUAUUUGUCGAGCGGCCGCCGCCUUCUCCACACACCGCUCGCUCGCUGGGGCCUCCUCGUGUUUGCUUUUACGUCUCUACGUAUCUCCUACUGACAGCCGUUCGCCUCCACACCACGAAGUUCGAUGUCGCCGUCGGACACCUACGACCGUUCUCGAUGUUGUUACCGCCGGUCCACGACUUUAGGCGUGUUUAAAAACGAAGUUAGCCGCAAAACAAAAAACGACUUUGAUCGCGACAAGACAUACAAAAACGAUGGUGGCAAAACAUAAAACGACCUUGGUCGCAGCAAAAAAACGACGGUGGCGCAAAAACUAAACGACCUUGGUCGGGAGCUGAAACGUAGAAACGAUGGUGGUACCACCGGUCUACGACCUUGGGCGUGUUAAAAAACGAAGGUAGCCACAAAACCAAAAUGACUUUGAUCGCAGCAGAAAACAUAAAAAACGAUGGUGGGAAAACAUAAAACGACCUUGGUCGCAACUAAAAACGAUGGUAGCGGAAAAACUAAACGACCUUGGUCGGGAGUUGAAACGUAGAAACGAUGGUGGUCACAAGACCAAACGAUCUUGUUCGAAGUUAAAAACGAUGGUGGUCCCAAACCAAACAACCCUGCGGCAGAUUAAAGGCUAUAAAAACGAUGAUGGCAAAGAACCAAACGACCUUGGUCGGGGUUAAAAACGAUGUUGACGGCAAACGACGCUCUGGUGCCUCAACAGCGGUAAACAAAGAUGUCUUCCCGCUCCCUCCCCCUACCCGUAGUGGCCACUCGUUUAACUCCCGCUCCAUGCCGCGCUCGAGCUGCUGCCCCACGACGCUGGUAGAGGUGGUCCCAACGGUACCGGCCAUUCGUGCCAGCGGGUUCCUACGCCGCCGCUCGCACCCAACGGCCACUUGUGCUACGGCUCUUGCUCGCACCCCCGCCGGUUCCUACGCAGCCGCUCUCGGGCAACAGCCGCUCGUACUCUGGCUCCUGCUCGCGCCCGCCGGGUUCCUACGCAGCCGCUCUCGCCCAAAGGCCGCUCGUACUCCGGCUCCUGCUCGCGCCCGCCGCGUUCACCUUCCGCUCGCGCCGCGACCCCUUUCAACGUGCUCUGCCACUUUAUGUCCCGCUCUACGCAGUCCUCCUUCUACUACAGACCCCGCUUAGCAAAAAAAAGAUAUAUAGGUUGCCCCGUAGACCGCCGAUCCCACGCUGGCCGGCUUUGAAAGCCGGCCGCGCGGCCACGGGUCAUAACGGGAAAAAACUUGGUAGACCCAUGUGCCUAGUACAGAACACCUCAUUAAUGAAAUGUAUUUUUUACAUUUAAAAUAAUGCAUGAAGGAUCAAUCCUCCAACACGCGCGAAACGAUGCGCCAACAACAACAACCCAAAGAAUUUUUUUAAUGAGUUAGAUAAAGUUUUACAUUCCACAUAAUGAAAAAAAAUUUUCAGUUGGUAAAAUUCAAACUAGUUUAAACAUCUCUUUAUAUAGUUCGGCGUUAUAGUUUAGCUAUACUAAUCUAUGUAGUACUUUACUUAAAUGUAUGAAAAAAAUAGAACACCUACAGCUAUAAAAAACGAGACUUGAAACAGUUUCAAUUUUUUUAAACUAAAAGGUUUUUUAUUAGGGGAAUAUAAAAAUAAAACUUUAACUACCUUAUAAAUCAAACCGGCCACCCCAUCUACUACCUCACACAAAAUAAAAUAAAUAUUACGCACUAAACUACACGGAAAGACCACACCAGGACACAACAGGCGAUUGAUUGCAUAUAAAUACACUCCUUAAAAAAAGUAGCCACCGACGUAAUAUAACCACAAUGUCAUAGUGUACCGCCGCGAAGAAAAAAGAUCCAGCACCC
This 4348-nucleotide ribosomal RNA is filed under the name Triticum aestivum (bread wheat). RNAcentral describes it as "partial small subunit ribosomal RNA". Lineage: Eukaryota; Viridiplantae; Streptophyta; Magnoliopsida; Poales; Poaceae. The record is from RNAcentral.